Molecule: ribosomal RNA, 459 nt
Filed under: uncultured bacterium
Lineage: Bacteria
Description: partial 16S ribosomal RNA
Rfam family: Bacterial small subunit ribosomal RNA
Source: RNAcentral
CCUACGGGAGGCUGCAGUGAGGAAUAUUGGUCAAUGGCCGCAAGGCUGAACCAGCCAAGUCGCGUGAGGGAUGACGGUCCUAUGGAUUGUAAACCUCUUUUGUCAGGGAGCAAAGGGCGCCACGUGUGGCGCUUUGCGAGUACCUGAAGAAAAAGCAUCGGCUAACUCCGUGCCAGCAGCCGCGGUAAUAUGGAGGAUGCGAGCGUUAUCCGGAUUUAUUGGGUUUAAAGGGUGCGCAGGCGGAAUGUCAAGUCAGCGGUAAAAUUUCGGGGCUCAACCCCGUCGUGCCGUUGAAACUGGCGUUCUUGAGUGAGCGAGAGGUAUGCGGAAUGCGUGGUGUAGCGGUGAAAUGCAUAGAUAUCACGCAGAACUCCGAUUGCGAAGGCAGCAUACCGGCGCUCAACUGACGCUCAGGCACGAAAGCGUGGGUAUCGAACAGGAUUAGAUACCCCAGUAGUC